GACGAACGCUGGCGGCGUGCUUAACACAUGCAAGUCGAACGGAAAGGCCCUGCUUUUGUGGGGUGCUCGAGUGGCGAACGGGUGAGUAACACGUGAGUAACCUGCCCUUGACUUUGGGAUAACUUCAGGAAACUGGGGCUAAUACCGGAUAGGAGCUCCUGCUGCAUGGUGGGGGUUGGAAAGUUUCGGCGGUUGGGGAUGGACUCGCGGCUUAUCAGCUUGUUGGUGGGGUAGUGGCUUACCAAGGCUUUGACGGGUAGCCGGCCUGAGAGGGUGACCGGCCACAUGGGGACUGAGAUACGGACCAGACGCCUACGGGAGGCAGCAGUGGGGAAUAUUGCACAAUGGGCGGAAGCCUGAUGCAGCAACGUCGCGUGCGGGAUGACGGCCUUCGGGUUGUAAACCGCUUUCGCCUGUGACGAAGCGUGAGUGACGGUAAUGGGUAAAGAAGCACCGGCUAACUACGUG
RNAcentral lists this ribosomal RNA (468 nucleotides) under uncultured bacterium. RNAcentral describes it as "partial 16S ribosomal RNA". It matches the Rfam family "Bacterial small subunit ribosomal RNA", at positions 28 to 507 of the family's 1533-position model. The record is from RNAcentral.